ACUGACUGCUAUCGGAUUGAUACUAAGCCAUGCGAGUCAUUGUAGUAAUACAAGGCAGACGGCUCAGUAACGCGUAGUCAACCUAACCUAUGGACGGGAAUAACCUCGGGAAACUGAGUAUAAUGCCCGAUAGAACAUUAUGCCUGGAAUGGUCUAUGUUCCAAAUGAUUUAUCGCCGUAGGAUGGGACUGCGGCCUAUCAGUUUGUUGGUGAGGUAAUGGCCCACCAAGACUAUUACAGGUACGGGCUCUGAGAGGAGUGGCCCGGAGAUGGGUACUGAGACACGGACCCAGGCCCUAUGGGGCGCAGCAGGCGAGAAAACUUUGCAAUGUGCGAAAGCACGACAAGGUUAAUCCGAGUGGUUUCUGCUAAAGGAACCUUUUGUCGGUCCUAGAAACACCGAUGAAUAAGGGGUGGGCAAGUUCUGGUGUCAGCCGCCGCGGUAAAACCAGCACCUCAAGUGGUCAGGAUGAUUAUUGGGCCUAAAGCAUCCGUAGCCGGCUUUGUUAGUUUUCGGUUAAAUCUGUACGCUUAACGUACAGGCUGCCGGGAAUACUGCAGAGCUAGGGAGUGGGAGAGGUAGACGGUACUCGGUAGGAAGGGGGUAAAAUUCCUUUGAUCUAUUGAUGACCACCUGUGGCGAAGGCGGUCUACCAGAACACGUCCGACGGUGAGGGAUGAAAGCUGGGGGAGCAAACCGGAUUAGAUACCCGGGUAGUCCCAGCUGUAAACUAUGCAAACUCAGUGAUGCAUUGGCUUGUGGCCAAUGCAGUGCUGCAGGGAAGCCGUUAAGUUUGCCCCCUGGGAAGUACGUACGCAAGUAUGAACUAAA
This 832-nucleotide ribosomal RNA is filed under the name uncultured marine archaeon. RNAcentral describes it as "bacterial SSU rRNA". It matches the Rfam family "Archaeal small subunit ribosomal RNA", at positions 21 to 859 of the family's 1478-position model. The record is from RNAcentral.